This 485-nucleotide ribosomal RNA is filed under the name uncultured Hahellaceae bacterium. Its description in RNAcentral is "bacterial SSU rRNA". It matches the Rfam family "Bacterial small subunit ribosomal RNA", at positions 30 to 497 of the family's 1533-position model. The record is from RNAcentral. Lineage: Bacteria; Pseudomonadati; Pseudomonadota; Gammaproteobacteria; Oceanospirillales; Hahellaceae.
AUUGAACGCUGGCGGCAGGCCUAACACAUGCAAGUCGAGCGGUAACAGGGAUAGCUUGCUAUCUGCUGACGAGCGGCGGACGGGUGCGUAACACGUAGGAAUCUACCCAGUAGCGGGGGAUAGCCCGGAGAAAUCCGGAUUAAUACCGCAUACGCCCUACGGGGGAAAGCAGGGGAUUCUUUCUUUGGAGAGAACCUUGCACUAUUGGAUGAGCCUGCGUCGGAUUAGCUGGUUGGUGGGGUAAAGGCCUACCAAGGCAACGAUCCGUAGCUGGUCUGAGAGGAUGAUCAGCCACACUGGGACUGAGACACGGCCCAGACUCCUACGGGAGGCAGCAGUGGGGAAUAUUGCACAAUGGGCGCAAGCCUGAUGCAGCCAUGCCGCGUGUGUGAAGAAGGCUCUAGGGUUGUAAAGCACUUUCAGCGAGGAGGAAGGUUGUAGUUAUACCUUGCAGCUGUGACGUUACUCGCAGAAGGAGCACCGGC